RNAcentral lists this ribosomal RNA (589 nucleotides) under Hansenula anomala. RNAcentral describes it as "eukaryotic LSU rRNA". It matches the Rfam family "Eukaryotic large subunit ribosomal RNA", at positions 65 to 668 of the family's 3401-position model. Lineage: Eukaryota; Fungi; Ascomycota; Saccharomycetes; Phaffomycetales; Wickerhamomycetaceae. The record is from RNAcentral.
UCAACAGGGGAUUGCCUCAGUACGGCGAGUGAGCGGCAAAAGCUCAAAUUUGAAAUCUAGCACCUUCGGUGUUCGAGUUGUAAUUUGAAGAUGGUAACCUUGGGUUUGGCUCUUGUCUAUGUUCCUUGGAACAGGACGUCAUAGAGGGUGAGAAUCCCGUCUGAUGAGAUGCCCAUUCCUAUGUAAGGUGCUAUCGAAGAGUCGAGUUGUUUGGGAAUGCAGCUCUAAGUGGGUGGUAAAUUCCAUCUAAAGCUAAAUAUUGGCGAGAGACCGAUAGCGAACAAGUACAGUGAUGGAAAGAUGAAAAGAACUUUGAAAAGAGAGUGAAAAAGUACGUGAAAUUGUUGAAAGGGAAGGGCAUUAGAUCAGACUUGGUGUUUUACGAUUAUCUUCUCUUCUUGAGUUGUGCACUCGUAUUUCACUGGGCCAGCAUCGAUUCGGAUGGCAAGAUAAUGGCAGUUGAAUGUGGCUUCACUUCGGUGGAGUGUUAUAGCUUCUGCUGAUAUUGCCUGUCUGGAUCGAGGGCUGCGUCUUUUGACUAGGAUGCUGGCGUAAUGAUCUAAUGCCGCCCGUCUGAAAACACGGACCA